This is a long non-coding RNA of Melitaea cinxia (Glanville fritillary), 128 nucleotides long. RefSeq lists it as uncharacterized. NCBI's taxonomy places the organism in Eukaryota, Metazoa, Arthropoda, Insecta, Lepidoptera, Nymphalidae. The record is from RefSeq and is a predicted model, not a curated record. The transcript is spliced from 2 exons.
AUCGACAGUGUUUAAGAGUGAGUGUUUAGUGCCUCGUCGCUUUAUUCUUUGCAAAAUUUUCGUUUCAAAUCCGAUUGCUGUCUGUUUGUUACAACUUUGGCUAAUAAACAUUUUUUCCAAGCCUAAAA